This 446-nucleotide ribosomal RNA is filed under the name uncultured bacterium. Its description in RNAcentral is "partial 16S ribosomal RNA". It matches the Rfam family "Bacterial small subunit ribosomal RNA", at positions 338 to 795 of the family's 1533-position model. The record is from RNAcentral.
CCUACGGGUGGCAGCAGUCGAGAAUCAUUCACAAUGGGGGAAACCCUGAUGGUGCGACGCCGCGUGGGGGAAUGAAGGUCUUCGGAUUGUAAACCCCUGUCAUGUGGGAGCAAAUUAAAAAGAUAGUACCACAAGAGGAAGAGACGGCUAACUCUGUGCCAGCAGCCGCGGUAAUACAGAGGUCUCAAGCGUUGUUCGGAAUCACUGGGCGUAAAGCGUGCGUAGGCUGUUUCGUAAGUCGUGUGUGAAAGGCGGGGGCUCAACCCGCGGACGGCACAUGAUACUGCGAGACUAGAGUAAUGGAGGGGGAACCGGAAUUCUCGGUGUAGCAAUGUAAUGCGUAGAUAUCGAGAGGAACACUCGUGGCGAAGGCGGGUUCCUGGACAUUAACUGACGCUGAGGCACGAAGGCCAGGGGAGCGAAAGGGAUUAGAUACCCGAGUAGUC